AGAAAUAUUUAGAAAUAACUUGAUUUGCUUGAUAUGCUUCAUAUUUCUUAAUUAGCUCAACCCUAUAUUAUCUACAUGAGAAGUACUGUCAACUCAGAAGAGAUACUUAGUCUCAGUCUUCCAAAGAAUAAGUUUGUACAGGCAAAAUAUCAUCAACAUGAAUAUUUAAGAUAUUGUAUGUUCUAUGGGAAGAACCUGUAGGUUUAUUGGUGGCCUCAUUGUUCAUAAUAUUCUUAGCCCUCGGGUGAAACUUCUACCAAACCCCUUUAAGAUAGUUAUGUAUUAUAUUCCAACAGAAAAUUGCACUCUCAUCCAUUCUUAUCUCAUUGGUGACUGUAAUAAAUUAACCAUAGCCUUUCAGUCUCAUUAUUGAACAGUCACCUAUUUAUCUCUGAUACUUGCCUAAAUGCUCUACUUCAAACAUAGGCUAGAUCAGAUCUCAGAAUAGAAUGCAGACUCUGACAAAAGCCAACUUUAUUACAACUGUAUAAUACGACCUCUCUGAGAGGGCUACAUGAAAAUUCAUUUGACUUAUGUAACUUUGGAAGUGACAUAUCACCACAAGAUUCAAGACAAAAGAAACUGUCUGCAAGAAUCACUUGUAAUGUUUUUUCUUAUAAGACUAUAAAGAAAAGAACCAUUGUUCAUGUUUACUGGUAUGGAACCAUUGUUCAUGUUUACUGGUAUGGAACAAAAAAAUAAAUGAAUGGUAGAUGGUAGGAACGAGGUUCCUCACUGUUGGUGUGGGAGGUUAUAGAUAAACAAGGAAGAAGGCUAAAAUGAUCUAUGCACUAGAGCUGGAGAUGUCAGUAGAAGUAUGGUUUUCCUUAAUAUAAACGAAUUGGAUAAGUAUAGAACUAUUUAACUUGUAUGUAUAUACAUAAGUGAAUAUGUACACAUGUUUCUUUACUCUAUCAACUGAGAGGCAGAAAAGCAACAAAACCCAGGAGCCAUAAGCAUACCUAGUGAUCCUAUCUUUGAUACUAAUACCAUUUUCCAAAGAAAGGAAUGAAGAAUACUUGGGUAGAUGAAUAAUUCUGGGUCUAGAGCAGGAACCUUACAAGAGAGGCAUGGAGAAACCUGUAGUGUCUAAAAUUAAGGAAUUCCUAAACACACAUGCACACCGAUGGGGCUAUGUCAAAGGGACAAGGAACCAAUUAAAAGAGCCACCAAUGGUCAAAGCUGGGAUAAUUUGGGCAAUAAAACAAAAUGCUGUAGUUGUAUAAAAUUAAGGAAUUCCUAAACACACAUGCACACCGAUGGGGCUAUGUCAAAGGGACAAGGAACCAAUUAAAAGAGCCACCAAUGGUCAAAGCUGGAAUAAUUUGGGCAACAAAAAAAAAAUGCCGAUUUAAAGAAAUCAAAGAAUAAAUAAAUGGAAAAGCAUACUAUGUUUCUGGAUUGGAAGUGUCAGCAUAAGAAACAGGUCUGUUCCCCCUAGAUGACAUAUAGAUUUAUGCAAUCCUUAUGAAAAUCCCAACAAUAGUUUUAAUAAUUACAAGAUUUUUCAAAAAAUUUUAUGGAAUGAUAAAAGAAUUUGGUUAGCUUAAACAAUUUAAAAAAAUAAACUAUUCAGUUUCAAUUUAUUACAUUACUCAGAUAUCAAAGUUGUGUGGUACUGGUGGAAGGGUAGGCCUAUAAAUCAAUGAAACAUGACAGAACUCAGAAAUAGGCCUGAAAAAAACAUAUCCAACUGAUUUUUGGCAAAGGUAGGAGAUUCAGUGGAUGGACUUAGCAACAAGUGUCCCUGGAACAAUUAGACCCUUAGAGACAUAAUAAAAUGAAAUAAAACUCAUAGCUUAUACAAAUAUUAACUCAAAAUGGAUCACAAACUUAAAUGUAGGACAGAAAAAUAGAAAACUUUUAGGCAAAAAAAAUAAAGAAAUGAGUCUACUUACACAUGGAUUUUUUUUCAAUAAAUACUACAACACUAUGUAGGUGGUUGAAUCCACUCUAAAGUUAAAUACAGAUUUUCAACUGUAUGAGAAGUGGAGAACUUUAACCCCCGUGUUGUUCAAGGGUCACCUGUACAUAAAGAACACCCAAAACUCAUAGUAAAAACUAUCUAGUUAGAAAUUGGGCAACGGGAGUUCCAGUUGUGGCUCAGCAUUAAUGAAACCAACUAGUAUCCAUGAGGAUGCAGGUUUGAUCCCUGGCCUCACUCAUUGGGUUAAGGAUCAGCAUUUCUGUGAACUGGUAUAGGUUGCAGAUGCUCUUGGAUCUGGCAUUGCUGUGGCUGUGGCUUAGGCCAGGUGCUACAGCUCUGAUUUGACCC
RNAcentral lists this long non-coding RNA (2275 nucleotides) under Sus scrofa (pig). RNAcentral's name for it is "lncRNA (ENSSSCG00030065334.1)". Lineage: Eukaryota; Metazoa; Chordata; Mammalia; Artiodactyla; Suidae. The record is from RNAcentral.